AAAUUGAAGAGUUUGAUCAUGGCUCAGAUUGAACGCUGGCGGCAGGCCUAACACAUGCAAGUCGAACGGUAACAGGAAGCAGCUUGCUGCUUUGCUGACGAGUGGCGGACGGGUGAGUAAUGUCUGGGAAACUGCCUGAUGGAGAGGGAUAACUACUGGAAACGGUGGCUAAUACCGCAUAACGUCGCAAGACCAAAGAGGGGGACCUUCGGCCUCUUGCCAUCAGAUGUGCCCAGAUGGGAUUAGCU
This 248-nucleotide ribosomal RNA is filed under the name Salmonella enterica. RNAcentral's name for it is "partial 16S ribosomal RNA". It matches the Rfam family "Bacterial small subunit ribosomal RNA", at positions 1 to 246 of the family's 1533-position model. Lineage: Bacteria; Pseudomonadati; Pseudomonadota; Gammaproteobacteria; Enterobacterales; Enterobacteriaceae. The record is from RNAcentral.